CCCUUAGAUGUCCGGGGCUGCACGCGCGCUACACUGAAGGAAUCAGCGUGCUAAAACCAUUGUCGAAAGGCAUUGGUAAACCCAUUAAAAUCCUACGUGAUUGGGAUCGGGAAUUGCAAUUAUUUCCCUUGAACGAGGAAUUCCCAGUAAGUGUGGGUCAUAAGCUCGCGUUGAUUACGUCCCUGCCCUUUGUACACACCGCCCGUCGCUGCCCGGGACUGAGCCGUUUCGAGUAAAGCGGGGACUGCUGCUGUCGGGGCUUUCGGGCCUUGGCUUCGGUGGAAACCGCUUUAAUCGCAGUGGCUUGAACCGGGCAAAAGUCGUAACA
RNAcentral lists this ribosomal RNA (328 nucleotides) under uncultured eukaryote. Its description in RNAcentral is "partial 18S ribosomal RNA". It matches the Rfam family "Eukaryotic small subunit ribosomal RNA", at positions 1470 to 1796 of the family's 1831-position model. The record is from RNAcentral.